Molecule: long non-coding RNA, 1682 nt
Filed under: Drosophila guanche
Lineage: Eukaryota; Metazoa; Arthropoda; Insecta; Diptera; Drosophilidae
Source: RNAcentral
AAUUAAUUUACAAUAAUAAUAACUCAACUAACACGAAAAACCGCCCGAACGCGCGAAUUAAUCUACGCCUUUUGCUCUGACACCCAAGGGAGACGGCCGAGCCGCUGCUCCUGGUUUACGAUGGCAACACUCGCUGCCGCGCUCUUUGAAAGAGUUUCCGCUUACAAUUUGCAUAAAAUUUGGUAGAAGAAGAGUCCAGACAGCUGGAUGGCGUUAAUAAGCGGGAGUCCAAUAUGAGUAUGGGUGAGUGGAGUGCGAGUAAUGGGAGAUGGGAGCUGGGAGGCUUACCUGUUGCCAGAGAGAGCAAAUGAAGCUGCCUGUGGUGCUCUCCGGCGGCUGCUGUUGUAAAUGGAUCGCCUUGUGGAAUCCGUUAAUUGUGUGUAAUUAAAUCCAACGGUAAAACAAAUGACAAACACUUUGUCGACAGACAGCUGAAGGGGGGGAUGUGGAAUGUUCUGUGGUUUCUUUGAGGUUGGCAGGGCCUCAACCCUUUUUCCUCGUCUCCUGUUCCUUGCCGCGUCUUGUCUUAAUUAUAUAGCGUGAAUAAUUUUCGCUCUUUGCGUGGGUUCCAUUCACGAGUCAUUGAUAUUUAAAAUUUAUAUAUUUUCCUUUUGGGGUUGAGGAUUGUCUUUCCCUUUAGCUUUAAUUAGUGAAAAUUAUGAGGCGGUUGUGGGACACUGGAGUCUACUUCCUGUCUUUGGGUUUAUCCUGCUCUGAUAUCAUCAAAUGUGAAUUUGAAUUUAUUUUUAUUAAUGGUACAUAUGUCUCUACCUCUAACAAACCUCUUCUCUUACAUUUCUAAACCUCUGACUGAGGCACGGACUUCAAAUCUUCUUCAUUUACAAAGCAACAUUGCAUUAGCAGUGACAACCACAAAGCGCAAACUGAGCGCGUUUAUUUGAAUUUGUGGCAGGAAUUUUCUAGCAGUAGAUCUACUAUCUUUUUGUCUGUUUCUUGCGGUGCCUGCCACUUACGCAAAAACGAUUCAAAAGUGCUAGCACAGAGAAAUAGAAAAAAGAGAGAGAGAGAGAGAUGUGGAAAAGGAAAUAAUCAUUUUUACUUCCAUUCAUUGUUGCAAUUGGUCUGGCCAAAAUGUUUUCGUUGAUUGUUGGAUGAAACCACUAACCGAACAACCGAACCCCAGCAAUUGUUUCUAUUGUUUGUCUGUUUACCUGUUUGGCCUGCGUGGGUGUUGUGUUGCCAUUGAUUGCGUUCAGAAGUUGAGAGUUUGGAAAUUUGCAUUUAAUUUGAUUGAGCCCACUGAUUGACUGGCUGGCUGCCUUGCUCCAAAAUGUUUACAAGUCAAGGAAGGAGCUAAUGAGUGAACAACAAUCCAAAACCGAUGUGGUUCCGAGAUUUAGCUCAGCUUUUGUGUAUUGUUGGUGUAAUUUUCGAGAGUAUUGUUGAUUUAAUUGUUGGUGUUUCAAAAGUGCAUAUUGUUGGUGUAGGUUUUGGGAUUGCUUUUACUUACAUUUGUCGGUAUACUUUCUGGUUGUAAAACAUUUAAAACUCUUUAGUGUUAUACUUUUUAUACGUGGUACGAGUUCUUGCCUACUUUUAUUCUCCAUUUUAAUUAGUUAUGUCACAAACUUUAUACUUUUCUUUUUUUUUCUCCCCACGCCUAAUUCGAAAUGUUGUCGCAGAACCGAUUACGUUAUCUCUUGGCCACGAGCAUCCACAGC